This is a long non-coding RNA of Hyposmocoma kahamanoa, 377 nucleotides long. RefSeq lists it as uncharacterized. Lineage: Eukaryota; Metazoa; Arthropoda; Insecta; Lepidoptera; Cosmopterigidae. The record is from RefSeq and is a predicted model, not a curated record. The transcript is spliced from 4 exons.
AUGUUUUCAAAUAGAGUUAUUUAGGUGGUCCACUAUUAAUAAGGAGGUAUCCUGUGAUAAUUGAUAGAACCCACAAAAGUACAAAUCUGAAGGACCUGUGCUAGUUACUAACGCUGUUUUUCUGGAUGUUUUUCUGGAUCUGUACAUAGAAGGAGAACGUCGAAGCAAUGUUCUUCUGUCUUGUGAAACUAUGUUUAGGGAUCUCCGAACAUACUACUAAUUCCCCAUAACCUUUACUAUCCAGUAACACAUGGUGGCAAUCCAAAUUAUGCAAAAUAUGUUCACUUUUCUUUGUUGUUGAAGUACCACUAAACAUAUUAAACACCAUGACCAUGGACGAAGGUUAAUACUAAAGCAUUUAAUAAGUUGCGUCAACC